Long non-coding RNA from Bombus terrestris (buff-tailed bumblebee), 1454 nucleotides. RefSeq lists it as uncharacterized. The transcript has 2 exons. Lineage: Eukaryota; Metazoa; Arthropoda; Insecta; Hymenoptera; Apidae. The record is from RefSeq and is a predicted model, not a curated record.
AAUUCCAUUGCGACACUCCUCUCGCAACGCCAGCAAUAGUUUUACCAACUAAAGUUAGUACUUCCUGUACGUCGUCUAAACUAGGCUUCACGGUCACCACCGGUAUCAUUAAUGUUGCAUGAAGCAGAAAUAUUGGAUUCGACACGGCAUUUCGAACCAUGUCUUGCAUUCCUUUCGGUAAGCUACCAGGAGUAACCAACAGCUGAUGAGGAUCGUCGAAUAAAUUCCAAACUAAGGACCAAUCUUGUUGAACUGUUUGGUCCACUACCUCUUCAUUUUCUGUAAGCUCAUCGUACAUAAAAGUUAUGAUUGGGAAAUGUGCAAAAAGAAAAAAGUAAGAAACGUGGAUUAAAAUAUUAUAAAUGAUAUUUAUAAUCUAUUUUUUAUAUAAUUGGUUUAAUUCUUAUUGGAAAUUGAUUAGAGUCGAAAAGAAACAGAGGCGUACCAUCGUAAAAACUUUUUGAAAAAUAUCCAAAACAGAAUUGCAUUAUGUAUUAGUGAAGCUCACUUGCAAAAUUUUUACGAUGAAAUUUUUCAUUUUCACGCUGAUAUAUGAAAACAAAUUUCCUGGCUAUUUCUAUAUUUAAUUAUGGAAGAAACUAGUUUUUCAGAUAAUGUCACAUAUCACCUUCGCUAUUAAAAAAUUCGAAUUGACUGGAAUUAGCAGCAGCUUUGAAAUUCUCUGCCGCGUUCUUAACAAGAUCUAGUACUUCUUCCACAGCCUCUUCCACCAUCAUACUUUUACGAUAUAAAUCUACCGCUGCCAGUCUGCAUACUUCUUCAGUCUUUUCUACAAAUUCCUCUAUAGUCCAAGGCUGAUCAGAUUCUGGCAUAGAAUGUAACGUUAUCUUUUGCAUAGCUGCCAGCACCUGUAAAAUCCUUGAAACAAGGGAAGGGAACUUUUAUUUGAUUUUAUAAAUACCUAUGAACUUAUGCAGAACGAUCAAUGAUGAAAAUCUGGAAUCCUUAUCAUUGUAAGAAAUUUUCUUUAACUGUCAAAUAUCAGCAAAAUUAUUACAUCUGUAUAACAAAAAUACCUCUUUUAAUUCUAAUAAGAAUUUGUAGAAAAGUAAAAUAGACGAAAAUUAAGAGACACUAAAGAAAGACAAAGGCAAACGAGUAAUAUAAUAUAUGCUUAUCUAAAAAAAGCUAUUGUAAUUUAGAAAGGUACGAUUUGCAAAAAGUUUAAAAAGAAAUGUACCUAUUGUCGUACACAUCGUGAACCCUUGUAAUAAGGAUAUCAAAUUCCUUGAUCUGCUGUUUUGUGUUCUGAUAGAAGUUUCUCCAUUCUGGAUUGGUCCAAUUCAGAGAAGUCAAACCAGGUUCCAACAAAGAUGCAACUCGCACCAAAUGCGGUAGUAACAAUGGCCUCACUUCAAGUUUCACACGUCUGGCCGUAAAGACGAACUCUUCGAUCAUCAAUUGGAGAGAGUCUGUGACCAAUGUGAAAUAAU